This 715-nucleotide unclassified non-coding RNA is filed under the name Hevea brasiliensis (rubber tree). Lineage: Eukaryota; Viridiplantae; Streptophyta; Magnoliopsida; Malpighiales; Euphorbiaceae. The record is from RNAcentral.
GAAUAAGUAAGCUGCAAAGUUAACAUAAAACUCAAUCCAUGGCAAAAAAUGCAUAAUCACUAAGAACUUUUGUCACACAAUUUUCUUCAAAUCUUCGAAAAACGAUGCCAACUGCCAACACAAAAAUUCAAUUCUUUUUAACAUUCAGAAUGGGCAAAGCAAAAAAGCUGGGGCACCUGGAUUAGAGGAAAACAUAUCUUCCCUCUCAAACAAGACAAUAUAUCAACUGCUAGAUGAUUGCUGAAAUGGAAUAAUCACAAUUGGCUACCACUAGCACUCAAAGGAAGACGGUCUAAUAACAUUUACCAGUGCUAAUCAAUAACACCACAAAAACUACAAUUUCUUUGUUGGCACAUAAUGAACCAGCUCCAUCUCAACUUAAUAAAAUAUAAACAAUAUCAAGCCUAUAAUUUGUUAUUCCAUUUAAUAACUAGUUAAUAUGCUAUAAGAGUACCAUUGUUAGAUAUGAUACCAAAAAACCAUAAGCAUGGUGCCCACCCACACUCGUAGUUAAGGAAAGAAGAGCAGAGUGUGAGAAAUGAUUCUAGCUACAAGUUGGAGUACUCUCUUAUUGAGUUCUUGUUGUACCUAAAAGAAACAUACAUGAACACAAACCUUGGUUGGUGAGUUGGAGGCAAGCAAAAGGUAAUUCAGUUGCUUCCAUCAUUAUAACUUCAUAAACAAAAACCAAUUCACUGUCGUACUGCAGUAUAUC